GAUAGUGAACCAGUACCGUGAGGGAAAGGCGAAAAGAACCCCGGCGAGGGGAGUGAAAAAGAACCUGAAACCGUGUACGUACAAGCAGUGGGAGCACCUUCGGGUGUGACUGCGUACCUUUUGUAUAAUGGGUCAGCGACUUAUAUUCUGUAGCAAGGUUAACCGUAUAGGGGAGCCGCAGGGAAACCGAGUCUUAACUGGGCGUUAAGUUGCAGGGUAUAGACCCGAAACCCGGUGAUCUAGCCAUGGGCAGGUUGAAGGUUGGGUAACACUAACUGGAGGACCGAACCGA
RNAcentral lists this ribosomal RNA (292 nucleotides) under Klebsiella pneumoniae. Its description in RNAcentral is "partial 23S ribosomal RNA". It matches the Rfam family "Bacterial large subunit ribosomal RNA", at positions 486 to 782 of the family's 2925-position model. The record is from RNAcentral. Lineage: Bacteria; Pseudomonadati; Pseudomonadota; Gammaproteobacteria; Enterobacterales; Enterobacteriaceae.